This 1227-nucleotide ribosomal RNA is filed under the name metagenome. RNAcentral describes it as "SSU rRNA". It matches the Rfam family "Eukaryotic small subunit ribosomal RNA", at positions 558 to 1799 of the family's 1831-position model. The record is from RNAcentral.
AGUCUGGUGCCAGCAGCCGCGGUAAUUCCAGCUCCAGUAGCGUAUAUUAAAGUUGUUGCAGUUAAAAAGCUCGUAGUUGGAUUUCUGGUACGUUGAGCCUGACCCGCUCCGGUUACGGUAGUGUGUGUUGGUGCUUGGCUGCCAUCCUUCCAGAGAACUUGCUCUACCCUUCACUGGGCCGGGGCGGCUAUCUGGAACUUUUACUUUGAAAAAAUUAGAGUGUUCAAAGCAGGCUUGCGCUAUGAAUACAUUAGCAUGGAAUAAUAAUUUAGGACUUCGGUUCUAUUUUGUUGGUUUCUAGGACUGAAGUAAUGAUUGAUAGGGAUAGUUGGGGGUGCUAGUAUUCAGCGGCCAGAGGUGAAAUUCUUGGAUUCGCUGAAGACUAACUUAUGCGAAAGCAUUCACCAAGGAUGUCUUCUUUAAUCAAGAACGAAAGUUGGGGGAUCGAAGACGAUCAGAUACCGUCGUAGUCUCAACCAUAAACUAUACCGACUAAGGAUAAGUGAACGUUGCAUUUUCGACAUCAUUCGCACUUUAUGAGAAAUCAAAGUCUUUGGGUUCCGGGGGGAGUAUGGUCGCAAGGCUGAAACUUAAAGGAAUUGACGGAAGGGCACCACCAGGAGUGGAGCCUGCGGCUUAAUUUGACUCAACACGGGAAAACUUACCAGGUCCAGACAUAGUGAGGAUUGACAGAUUGAAGAUCUUUCUUGAUUCUGUGGGUGGUGGUGCAUGGCCGUUCUUAGUUGGUGGAGUGAUUUGUCUGGUUUAUUCCGUUAACGAACGAGACCUCAACCUACUAAAUAGUCCGGCGAACUCUUUUGUUCGUACGGUACUUCUUAGAGGGACUAUCGGUGUGUAGCCGAUGGAAGUUUGAGGCAAUAACAGGUCUGUGAUGCCCUUAGAUGUUCUGGGCCGCACGCGCGCUACACUGACUACUUCAUCGAGUUUACAACCUUGACCGAGAGGUCUGGGUAAUCUUUUAAAAGGUAGUCGUGCUGGGGAUAGAUUAUUGCAAUUUUUAAUCUUCAACGAGGAAUUCCUAGUAAACGCAAGUCAUCAACUUGCAUUGAUUACGUCCCUGCCCUUUGUACACGCCGCCCGUCGCUACUACCGAUUGAAUGAUUUAGUGAGCUUCGGGGAUUGCUGCGUUCGCGGGGGCAACCCUGUGGGCGUGAUGAGAACCGCUACAAACUUGACCAUUUAGAGGAAGUAAAAGUCGUAACAAGG